This 2014-nucleotide ribosomal RNA is filed under the name Uropolystomoides malayi. Its description in RNAcentral is "SSU rRNA". It matches the Rfam family "Eukaryotic small subunit ribosomal RNA". Lineage: Eukaryota; Metazoa; Platyhelminthes; Monogenea; Polystomatidea; Polystomatidae. The record is from RNAcentral.
UAGUCAUAUGCUUGUCUCAAAGAUUAAGCCAUGCAUGCCUAAGUCUUGGCUCUUGAACAGUGAAACCACGAAUGGCUCAUUAAAUCAGCUAUUGUUCAUUAGAUCAUAUCCAUUACAUGGAUAACUGUAGUAAUUCUAGAGCUAAUACAUGCCUCGAUGCCGUGACCCUUCAUGGGGAUCGGUGCACUUAUUAGAACAAGACCAACCGGGUGACUAGCUUCGGCUGGUUGCCUGUGGUGUCGUGUUGACUCUGGAUAAUUUGACUGAUCGCAGUCGGCCUUGUAGUCGGCGACAAUUCUUUCAAAUGUCUGCCCUAUCAUACUUUCGAUGGUAGGCGACCUGCCUACCAUGGUGAUAACGGGUAACGGGGAAUCAGGGUUCGAUUCCGGAGAGGGAGCCUGAGAAACGGCUACCACAUCCAAGGAAGGCAGCAGGCGCGCAAAUUACCCACUCCCGGCACGGGGAGGUAGUGACGAAAAAUAACGAUGCGGGACUCGUACGAGGCUCCGUAAUCGGAAUGAGAACACUUUAAAUCCUUUAACGAGGACCAAUUGGAGGGCAAGUCUGGUGCCAGCAGCCGCGGUAACUCCAGCUCCAAUAGCGUAUAUUAAAGUUGCUGCAGUUAAAAAGCUCGUAGUUGGAUCUUGACGGCACUGCUGCGUGUCUCGGUGGCACUGUUUUGCUUUUCGUCCGGGCGUGACUAAAGCGUUCCGGUUCGGGGCACGGUGUGCCGAGCUCGUUGGCGGUGUAGUCUUUCAGCCGUGUCUGUUGUCUGCGUGUAACAGCGUGGGCGCAGGUGCCGGUGGUUGGGUUUGGCCUCGUGUCGCCCUUCUGCUGGUACGCCUCGUGAUGAUCUUAACUGACUGUCGCGAGUGCGGACGGCAUGUUUACUUUGAACAAAUUUGAGUGCUCAAAGCAGGCCCACGUGCCUGAAAAGUCUUGCAUGGAAUAAUGGAAUAGGACUUCGGUUCUAUUUUGUUGGUUUUCGGUUCCGAAGUAAUGGUUAAGAGAGACAGACGGGGGCAUUUGUAUGGCGGUGUUAGAGGUGAAAUUCAUGGAUCGCCGCCAGACAGCCUGAAGCGAAAGCAUUUGCCAGGAAUGUUUUCAUUGACAAAGAGCGAAAGUCAGAGGUUCGAAGACGAUCAGAUACCGUCCUAGUUCUGACCAUAAACGAUGCCAACUGACGAUCCGUGGAGGUUGUACAUAUCGUCCCCACGGGCAGUCUCCGGGAAACCCGUAAGUCUUUGGGUUCCGGGGGAAGUAUGGUUGCAAAGCUGAAACUUAAAGGAAUUGACGGAAGGGCACCACCAGGAGUGGAGCCUGCGGCUUAAUUUGACUCAACACGGGAAAACUCACCCGGCCCGGACACUGUGAGGAUUGACAGAUUGAAAGCUCUUUCUUGAUCCAGUGGUUGGUGGUGCAUGGCCGUUCUUAGUUGGUGGAGCGAUUUGUCUGGUUAAUUCCGAUAACGAACGAGACUCUAGCCUGCUAAAUAGUACACCGGUAAAUCGUUCCCGUUCAGAGACGCUGGUUAGUUGAUUCGGUCAUGCCUACGGGUGUGUCGCGGGUUGGCUGGUCAGAUUCUUUGUCGGGUACCGUGCAGGCGAAACUUCUUAGAGGGACAAGUUGCCCAAGCAACACGAAAUUGAGCAAUAACAGGUCUGUGAUGCCCUUAGAUGUCCGGGGCCGCACGCGCGCUACAAUGACGGUACCAGCGUGCAUGACCUCCUGGCCCGAAAGGGUUGGGUAAACCGGUCCAUUACCGUCGUGACAGGGAUCGGGGUUUGUAAUUAUCCCCCGUGAACGAGGAAUUCCCAGUAAGUGCAAGUCAUAAGCUUGUGCUGAUUACGUCCCUGCCCUUUGUACACACCGCCCGUCGCUACUACCGAUUGAAUGGUUUGGCAAGGCUCUCAGAUUGGUGCCAUUGUAGCAGGCUCUGGCUUGCUCGACCGGUGCUGAGAAGAGAGCCAAACUUGAUCAUUUAGAGGAAGUAAAAGUCGUAACAAGUUUCCGU